GAUGAACGCUGGCGGCGUGCCUAAUACAUGCAAGUCGAACGCUGGAGAUCUAGCUUGCUAGAUCGAAGGAGUGGCGAACGGGUGAGUAAUACAUAAGCAACCUACCCACGAAGACUGGGAUAAUCUCUGGAAACGGGGACUAAUACCGGAUAGGUAAUCGGAAGGCAUCUUCUGGUUAUUAAAGGUAAAAAACACUGGUGGAUGGGCUUAUGGCGCAUUAGUUAGUUGGUGAGGUAACGGCCCACCAAGACGAUGAUGCGUAGCCGGCCUGAGAGGGUGAACGGCCACAUUGGGACUGCGACACGGCCCAGACUCCUACGGGAGGCAGCAGUAGGGAAUUUUCGGCAAUGGGGGCAACCCUGACCGAGCAACGCCGCGUGAGUGAAGACGGCCUUCGGGUUGUAAAGCUCUGUUGUAAGGGAAGAACGGUAGAUAGAGAAUAUCUAAGUGACGGUACCUUACCAGAAAGCCACGGCUAACUACGUG
This 486-nucleotide ribosomal RNA is filed under the name uncultured bacterium. Its description in RNAcentral is "partial 16S ribosomal RNA". It matches the Rfam family "Bacterial small subunit ribosomal RNA", at positions 28 to 507 of the family's 1533-position model. The record is from RNAcentral.